GCGACUCUCUGGUCUGUAACUGAUGAUGAUGUGUGACAGCGUGGAGAUCAAACAGGAUUAGAUAGCUUGGUAGUCCACGCUGUAAACGAUGAGUGCUAAGUGUUAGGGGGUUUCCGCUCUUUAGUGCUGCAGUUAACGCAUUAAGCACUCCCCUUGGGGAGUACGACCGCAAGGUUGAAACUCAAAGGAAUUGACGGGGACCCGCACAAGCGGUGGAGCAUGUGGUGUAAUUCGAAGCAACGCGAAGAACCUUACCAAAUCUUGACAUCCUCUGACCCCUCUAGAGAUAGAGUUUUCCCCUUAGGGGGACAGAGUGACAGGUGGCGCAUGGUCGUCGUCAGCUCGUGUCGUGAGAUGUUGGGUUAAGUCCCGCAACGAGCGCAACCCUUAAGCUUAGUUGCCAUCACUAAGUUGGGCACUCUAAGUUGACUGCCGGUGACAAACCGGAGGAAGGUGGGGAUGACGUCAAAUCAUCAUGCCCCUUAUGAUUUGGGCUACACACGUGCUACAAUGGACAAUACAAAGGGCAGCGAAACCGCGAGGUCAAGCAAAUCCCAUAAAGUUGUUCUCAGUUCGGAUUGUAGUCUGCAACUCGACUAUAUGAAGCUGGAAUCGCUAGUAAUCGUAGAUCAGCAUGCUACGGUGAAUACGUUCCCGGGUCUUGUACACACUCGCCCGUCACACCACGAGAGUUUGUCAAC
Molecule: ribosomal RNA, 701 nt
Filed under: Staphylococcus epidermidis
Lineage: Bacteria; Bacillati; Bacillota; Bacilli; Caryophanales; Staphylococcaceae
Description: bacterial SSU rRNA
Rfam family: Bacterial small subunit ribosomal RNA
Source: RNAcentral